GAAGGACGUCAACCUCCUUAAUCCGCUGGCUGAGCUAGAGAAGCAAUCACAAGAAGAAGCAUCUCGUGCAGUCCAUCAACUCAUCAUGUACGUGCGCAUCAGAUCAUGUAUGGUCCAGAGGAAAUAUUCCUUUCUCUUUCAAUUGAUUUGUCUCCUGGCCCCUUUUGUCUUUGUUUUAUAUUGUCUGUAGGAUGUCAAGUGCCAGAACCGCUUCAACAUGUGAGCAUGAUCCUUUCCAUGCUUUAGUCAUGUGUUGCUAGCGAAACACAAUAACAUUAAUACCAUGUAUUUUGUAUUAUUGACUUGGGGAAUUGAUUUAAAUUGCUAUUGGUGGUUAUAAUAGUUUGCUAUACUUUUAGUAGGUUAUGUUUAUGCAAGUUAGACAUAGAGCUGCUGUUCGAGAAAGUAUGUAGAUUUAGGAAGUAGGAACAAGCCCAUCCUGUACUACUGUUGCGUUUUGCUGAUGUGCUCCUGUCGCAUGUGCUAAUGUUUGGGCUCUUGUCGCAAAAUCUGAAUUAUUGUUUGAAAAAAAGGGAGGUUUAAUUUAAUUUAAUUUGUUGUUAUUACACAAAAUGGACCACAAUGUCGAAUCAACCAUUGUUAUACACCUUUAGUAGUACAGUGUGAGAUACUUUGUCUUUGUUUUCGGACAAUCAACCCGCAGUCCAGGUUGAAGUGACUGAAAAACGGUCCGCUUCUGAAUUGGGAUCUCCACCCCAUAUAUCACUAUCCCGACACCCAGCACAGCCUGUCCUUCUCUGAGUUUUGGCACUGCCAGACCUCCUCUCCGACUUCCGGCCUUUCCGCGAGCUCCGGCCGAUGUUGUACCACGCACGACACUUGGGGCCACCCCGCGCCGUUGCAGUUUCCAUCUAGGAUGAUCAUAGCUUUCUCGAGGUCCGUCAGCCAUUUGCAUGCUAACUAUUCGGUCAAUUGACCCAACGGACCGGAGGGAAUUUUCUAUUUUUUUUUACUUUGGUUUUCCAUUUAGUACUAAAGUGAUCACGACCACAACCACUGGACAAGACUAAUCUUAUGAGGAAGGCAUCAAUAGCGAUCUCAUCGAAUGGGUUGUGUCGCUUUGUUUUGACCUGUAUUUCCAGGGCUCCAGCAUGCUAAGCCUAGAAGGUAUGCAACUGGUUAUCCUACCUCCCUUCUUUCAAAGAAAUUGGUUAUCCUACCUCUAUCCAUGGCAAUGUCCAUUUUCUUUUGGUAGUGAUGAUCCGCAUCAUGUUGUGGUUUGUAGUAAAAAAUAUAUGCCCUUUGCUGCGUUCAUUUCUUAGUAUCAGUUGACUUCUCAACUGUCUUCCGGUGUGAGAUUUAAUGUUCUGAAUAUAUAUAUUUUAAUUUUUGGAUCUGAUGAAUUGUCCAAGUGACUAUUUUUUUAGUAGUUUAUGGCAAUGCUAACAAAUGAUUUCGAUUUUCAAGUUAUGUAAAUUACAGCAAAAAUUCUGAGACCUUGUGAUUGCAGCGAAUACUAAAAAGAAUAUGUGAGGUACAGUAAGUAUGCUAUGGAGCCAAAGUGCAGCCCUGUAUCUGUUACUUAGAAGAUUUUCUUGUGACCUGUGUUACAUUCUGUCUUGAUGCCUUAGUUAUUUCUUCUUGAUGUGCACUUUGUGUUGCCAUAAAUUGGACAAUUGUCACUUUUUUUCUGCGGCUGUCGUGGAUACAAUUCAAGGACUUCUAGACAUCAUUAUAUAUUUUCUUAACUUGUUUUUAUGCUGAGUAUGUUUUGCUGGCUUGUCAGCUGUUGGGGAGGAUCACAGUGUCUAUGAUGAAGAAUAAGAAUUUGAAUUUGGAAGGAGCCUUUGUAAUCUCUUAUUAACAAGACUGCAACAUCUGUUUACGGUUCAUUAAGAAUGGUAUUUACCAAUACACUGGCGCCAUAUACCUUCGGUAUUUAUAAGUUCUUAUGUGCUAUUUCUAUCCCUCGAAUUUAUGUAUCAAUUGUGCAAUAUCUUGGCAUUUCAGGUAUGGGAAUAUUUGACUCCGGAGCUUUUGCUGAAUGGUAUUGUCGUCCAGAAGCUAGAGUUUGAAAGGUAUGUCCUGGUGCUCCUCACUUUCUGGGAUGAUCAAUCUCCUAUUAUACAUGGUGACGUACACAGGACAAGACCAAGCAAGCAUCAUGGUUGAUUUCAUGAGGAAGCUAGCUAGCUAUGUAUACGAAGCUAGCAGAUCAAAAGGCACACAGUCUGUGUACGCACGCAAGAGUUGUUGGCGGCUAAAAUCAUGAAGCAACAGACUGACAAAUUGUGGCCAGCAUACAGGCAGGCGAAAAUAGCCAGUGUAUUUGCAUGUUUUCUUGACUUAGACUACAAUGCAGUUAGUUUCCAUGAAAUAAAUUAUUUUGCCAUCUGCUCUUUAGAUACGGACAUACAAUAGAUUAAAUGUAUAGACGUCAGCACAAACUUCAAAUUUUGGGAGGUAACCAAAAUAGUUGGCACAACUUUGGGAGACAAAGAGAAUAGUUGUGCUUUAUUAGUAGGUAUAGAUAUUUAUUGAUUAAUAGUAUCAUCUAUUCCUAAUUUUUUUAAUAGUACCACCUCGCAAAUUUACAC
Molecule: long non-coding RNA, 2558 nt
Filed under: Triticum aestivum (bread wheat)
Lineage: Eukaryota; Viridiplantae; Streptophyta; Magnoliopsida; Poales; Poaceae
Description: long non-coding RNA (TAES_LNC013097)
Source: RNAcentral